CUCCCCACUUCUCUCUGGAUUAAACGAAAUGUACAAGUUCUGGCCUGCAUCUUUCCAUAGAGGGAGAUUCGGGAAAAUUAAGAAGCCAGAAAUCGCGCAGGUUGAAGGCACUUUUAAAAAGUCACUGUCCUCUACAAAACGUGACUUUCUCCAUUGUCUUCCAGGCACCUGCAGGAAUCCAAUUCCCAGCAUUCUUCUCUGGCGCGGCCCUCCUCCUCCCUAGACAGCAGGGCAGGGUAGGACUGGACCCAACGCCGACCCUUAGCUCAGCAGCCAAAUGAAGGAAGAGGUCGCUCCACUUCUACCUGCAGAAGGCUGUCUCCUGCGAGGACCAGAAGUUGAGCCAAGGCACAUGGAACUUACAAUAGCAGAUGGUAAGAACCAGGGCAGAAGGAGAACUCCUGAAGCCUCCGAAGGAAGGAAAUCAUUACAGGGCCCUACAGAAGUAGGUCAUGUGCUACAGCUGCUCAUAGUUUAAGAGGAAGAAACAUAGGACCUCAAACCUGGAACACGACUCUUUCAAAAUGCUUGUGAGCAACCCAAGAAAAACAUCCUCCUGAGGCUUAUCUAAUAACCAUGAUCUCUAAUCGUCUCAAUGUGUGCUCAUGUUUCCUUAGGAGUUUGCACCCACUUCUCAGAGCUAACGAGAUGCCGAAACAGAACACAGAGAAAAGUAAUGAAGGAGAUUUAAUAGUUUGUGUUAAAGCUAAUAUGGUCCAUUAGGAGCCGUCAUUUUUAUAAACAGUGAGGAUACGUUACCCUCUUCUUUGGUGUAAAGUCAUUCCAUGCAGGACCUGUAAACAUUCAGUAAUGAUCUGUAGAACAUGCAUGAACGACAAUUAAAGCGCCACUUGAAAAGUCUGUUUUCC
RNAcentral lists this long non-coding RNA (869 nucleotides) under Pan troglodytes (chimpanzee). RNAcentral's name for it is "long non-coding RNA NONPTRT010658". The record is from RNAcentral. Lineage: Eukaryota; Metazoa; Chordata; Mammalia; Primates; Hominidae.